This is a non-coding RNA of Perca flavescens (yellow perch), 72 nucleotides long. Lineage: Eukaryota; Metazoa; Chordata; Actinopteri; Perciformes; Percidae. The record is from the annotation of a RefSeq genome assembly.
GGCUCUGUGGCGCAAUGGAUAGCGUGUUGGACUUCUAUUCCAAGGUUGUGGGUUCGAGUCCCACCAGAGUCG